RNAcentral lists this ribosomal RNA (305 nucleotides) under uncultured bacterium. RNAcentral describes it as "bacterial SSU rRNA". It matches the Rfam family "Bacterial small subunit ribosomal RNA", at positions 337 to 635 of the family's 1533-position model. The record is from RNAcentral.
ACCUACGGGGGGCAGCAGUAGGGAAUUUUCGUCAAUGGGCGCAAGCCUGAACGAGCAAUGCCGCGUGAACGAGGAAGGUCUUCGGAUCGUAAAGUUCUGCUGAAGGGGAAAAAGAGCGGAGAGAGGAAAUGGUCUCCGAUUGAUAUUACCCUUCGAGGAAGUCACGGCUAACUACGUGCCAGCAGCCGCGGUAAUACGUAGGUGGCGAGCGUUAUCCGGAAUGAUUGGGCGUAAAGGGUGCGUAGGCGGCCUGCUAAGUCUGGAGUGAAAGGUACCGGCUCAAACGGUACAGGCUCUGGAAACUG